RNAcentral lists this ribosomal RNA (612 nucleotides) under uncultured bacterium. RNAcentral's name for it is "bacterial SSU rRNA". It matches the Rfam family "Bacterial small subunit ribosomal RNA", at positions 91 to 738 of the family's 1533-position model. The record is from RNAcentral.
GGGAGUGGCAGACGGGUGAGUAACGCGUGGGAAUCUACCUAGUUCUACGGAACAACACAGGGAAACUUGUGCUAAUACCGUAUACGCCCUACGGGGGAAAGAUUUAUCGGAAUUAGAUGAGCCCGCGUAAGAUUAGCUAGUUGGUGGGGUAAUGGCCUACCAAGGCGACGAUCUUUAGCUGGUCUGAGAGGAUGAUCAGCCACACUGGGACUGAGACACGGCCCAGACUCCUACGGGAGGCAGCAGUGGGGAAUAUUGGACAAUGGGCGCAAGCCUGAUCCAGCCAUGCCGCGUGAGUGAUGAAGGCCUUAGGGUUGUAAAGCUCUUUCAGUGGGGACGAUAAUGACGGUACCCACAGAAGAAGCCCCGGCUAACUUCGUGCCAGCAGCCGCGGUAAUACGAAGGGGGCUAGCGUUGUUCGGAUUUACUGGGCGUAAAGCGCACGUAGGCGGAUCGUUAAGUCGGGGGUGAAAUCCUGGAGCUCAACUCCAGAACUGCCUUCGAUACUGGCGAUCUUGAGUCCGGAAGAGGUGAGUGGAACUCCUAGUGUAGAGGUGGAAUUCGUAGAUAUUAGGAAGAACACCAGUGGCGAAGGCGGCUCACUGGUCCGGU